CUUGCCUCUGGGAUAGAAGUGAGGCUGGGGUGGACAUUCUGGGCAAAGGGUUUUGAAUGGAGCAUAAUUGCCUUUUCACCUGCCUCAUAUAGAAACCCCUUAUAGGCAUUACUCAAGUGAAAAUGUGCAUAUGUACUUUGCUGACACCAAAUUUUCUGGCUUGUGGAUGAUUGUUUUACCUGAUGGUUUCAAAGGGCUUUGCUUUUUUUCUGUCUUUUACAUUUUCAUGUGAGCCACAUUGUCUCUGAAUCUCCUGAUGGAAUCCAUGUGUACACUCAGUUGUGGGGGACACUCGUUCAUUGUUAAUGAAUGGGUUGCAAAUUGGUCCAGCUACUGCUCUGAAAAGCAGAAUGGAGAACUCUCAAAAACUUAAAUAAAUCUGCCACGUGGCCCAGCUAUUUGCCCAAAGCACUCAACAGGUACUCAUUUAGCCAUACUCAUUGUUGUUCUAGCCACACUAGCUAGGAAGAGUAAACAGCCUAACUGUCCUAAAGCCUAUGAGUGCAUAGUGAAAAUUUGG
RNAcentral lists this long non-coding RNA (520 nucleotides) under Mus musculus (house mouse). RNAcentral describes it as "predicted gene, 48833". The record is from RNAcentral. Lineage: Eukaryota; Metazoa; Chordata; Mammalia; Rodentia; Muridae.